RNAcentral lists this ribosomal RNA (639 nucleotides) under Triticum aestivum (bread wheat). RNAcentral's name for it is "partial small subunit ribosomal RNA". Lineage: Eukaryota; Viridiplantae; Streptophyta; Magnoliopsida; Poales; Poaceae. The record is from RNAcentral.
AUGCAUCCAACGGGGACAGACGCAUUUUUUGUCAUGUCCGCCUCGGCGUUCCAUCGAACACGUAGCAGGCAGGGAGGAGGACGAGCCCGCCAGAGCGGAGCACGGGCGCCGGAGGAGCACCAGCUCACCACGACGGAGCACAAGUGCCGGAGGAGGACGAGCCCGUUUGUCCUCUGUUGUUGUUGUUGUGCGAGCACGGGCGCCGGAGGAGGACCAGCCCGCCCGCCCUCUGCUGCUGCUGUGCGCGGGGGAGCAGGCACGGCCAGGCGUGGCCAAGAGCUCGGGAGCGGACAGGCACGGCCGGGCGCGGCCAGGAGCGCGGCCGGGAGAUCGGGAGCGGGCACGGCCGGGGGAGGCGAGGAGCACCGCUGGGCGCGGCGGAGCGCGGCCAGGAGCUCGACAAGGCCGGUCGCGGCAGCGCGAGCGUGGGGGAGGCGAGGUGCGGGUGACGGCGCGGGGAAGGCGAGGCCGAGGCGAGCGCGGGAGGCGAGGAGUUGCUCUAAGAGGCCCGCCCAUGUCCUGGUCGCUGGUGAGGAGGACCUUGCAGGGUGGCCCGUGGCCGCACCGACGUCGUCUUUGUGCAGUCGCGGCGUCGUCCAUGGACAGCUUGGCCGGCGGCGUAGGCUUGUAGCUAGCUAG